Molecule: transfer RNA, 93 nt
Filed under: Amycolatopsis sp. M39
Lineage: Bacteria; Bacillati; Actinomycetota; Actinomycetes; Pseudonocardiales; Pseudonocardiaceae
Description: tRNA-Ala
Source: RNAcentral
CCCGGCGGUGCGGCGACCGGUGAGGCUGUGGUGCGUUCGCCGCACACGAACGCGAUCUCGUUCACCGGCUCGUCCGCCGCGGGCCGCCGGGUC